Molecule: transfer RNA, 73 nt
Filed under: Capsicum annuum
Lineage: Eukaryota; Viridiplantae; Streptophyta; Magnoliopsida; Solanales; Solanaceae
Rfam family: tRNA
About the family: Transfer RNA (tRNA) molecules are approximately 80 nucleotides in length. Their secondary structure includes four short double-helical elements and three loops (D, anti-codon, and T loops). Further hydrogen bonds mediate the characteristic L-shaped molecular structure. tRNAs have two regions of fundamental functional importance: the anti-codon, which is responsible for specific mRNA codon recognition, and the 3' end, to which the tRNAs corresponding amino acid is attached (by aminoacyl-tRNA synthetases). tRNAs cope with the degeneracy of the genetic code in two manners: having more than one tRNA (with a specific anti-codon) for a particular amino acid; and 'wobble' base-pairing, i.e. permitting non-standard base-pairing at the 3rd anti-codon position.
Source: Rfam by way of RNAcentral
GGGCCUGUAGCUCAGAGGAUUAGAGCACGUGGCUACGAACCACGGUAUCGGGGGUUGAAUCACUCCUCGCCCA